CAGAGACUCCAACCCGCUACCGCUAAGUCAGCGGAGGUCCGCGGCUUCCUGGAAGACCCUCCCCUGUGCCGGGAGGGCGGUUUGGCCUCCUCGUCCCACCAGGACUCCACGGUCACACUCACGCCAGCACGCACAGCCUUCUCCGUGGAGCCAGCUGACAUCCAGCGUUCUCCGCCGACGGGAAGAGUCACACGUCACGGAUGGUUACAGCGCUCACUUCGGCGGAUGCUUUAAUCCCAUAUGUUUCCUCAAAACCGAGAUUCCAAUUGCUCUGGCUUCUUUCGUGCUAAAAGGAGACCAAAGUAAUUAGAGGUUGAACUGACUCACCACGGUUGCAGAAAAGCAUGACUGCUCAAUUUUUAAAAGGGAGGAAAAUAAACCAAACUGAGAUAAAAUAAGCAGACGUGAAAAUGUGAGAAAUGAGACAAGAGCUGAAAGAAAAAUAAAGAAAGUCUGAAUCGAGAGAAUGACUUCCAUCAUCAGUUGGUCAGAAAAGUGGUACUAUUAUAGGCACCUAAGGCACAUGAAUGAACAAAACGAAAACAGUUUCCUAGGACUGGCAUAACAAACUACUACAAACUGGGAGGCUUAAGACAACAGAAUUUAUUGUCUCACAGAUUUGGAGGCUAGAAGUCUGAAAUCAAGGUGUUGGCAGGGCCAUGCUUCUCUGAAGUCUGCAGUGAAGAAUCUGUUCCAUGCCUCUCUCCUGGAGUCUCGCGGCGGCUUGCCAGGCAUCCAUGGUGUUCUCCAUCUCAGUCAUCACAUGACGUUGUUCCCUCUGUCCGUCUGCAUGUGUCUAAAUCUCCCCUUCUCUUAAGGGCACUGGUCAUAUUGGAUUAAGGUGCAUUCUCAUCCAGUUUGUCCUCAUCUUAACUAAUGACAUCUUCCAAGACCCUAUUUCCAAAUAAUGUUACAGUCACGGGACUGGGAGUUAGGCCUUGAACGUGUCUUUUCAUGGGACACAGUUCAACCCAUAACAAGGAACAAAAUUGUACAUGGAGAUGAAGUUUUAAAAUAUUGUUAGGAUUCUGAAACUCUGUUGUGAACUAAUUUAUUUGCUUGCUACCAUUGCUAUCAUAAUUCUUGGCUAAACAACUAUGAUAAUGCCUAGAUUUUGAAAACUUCAGUUAGAGUUUGGCUGCUUAUCCUUUAUUGUGCCAAAUGAUCUGAAAGGUAGGGAGAACUGGGGCAGCUGAGAGGAGGUUAACUUGACCUUUGUGCAACAGAGGGACAGACUCGGUUAUGUGGAGGAUAUAGGGGAAGAAAGUGUCAUCCAAGUGAGGAAGGAUCUAUGUGAAGGGAGAUGUUGGAAUGUCUCCAGAAGGUGGAAC
Molecule: long non-coding RNA, 1331 nt
Organism: Choloepus didactylus (southern two-toed sloth)
Lineage: Eukaryota; Metazoa; Chordata; Mammalia; Pilosa; Megalonychidae
Exons: 4
Source: RefSeq, a predicted model, not a curated record